AUUGAACGCUGGCGGCAGGCCUAACACAUGCAAGUCGAACGGUAACAGGAAGAAGCUUGCUUCUUUGCUGACGAGUGGCGGACGGGUGAGUAAUGUCUGGGAAACUGCCUGAUGGAGGGGGAUAACUACUGGAAACGGUAGCUAAUACCGCAUAACGUCGCAAGACCAAAGAGGGGGACCUUCGGGCCUCUUGCCAUCGGAUGUGCCCAGAUGGGAUUAGCUAGUAGGUGGGGUAACGGCUCACCUAGGCGACGAUCCCUAGCUGGUCUGAGAGGAUGACCAGCCACACUGGAACUGAGACACGGUCCAGACUCCUACGGGAGGCAGCAGUGGGGAAUAUUGCACAAUGGGCGCAAGCCUGAUGCAGCCAUGCCGCGUGUAUGAAGAAGGCCUUCGGGUUGUAAAGUACUUUCAGCGGGGAGGAAGGGGGUAAAGUUAAUACCUUUGCUCAUUGACGUUACCCGCAGAAGAAGCACCGGCUAACUCCGU
RNAcentral lists this ribosomal RNA (489 nucleotides) under uncultured bacterium. RNAcentral's name for it is "partial 16S ribosomal RNA". It matches the Rfam family "Bacterial small subunit ribosomal RNA", at positions 30 to 506 of the family's 1533-position model. The record is from RNAcentral.